This 901-nucleotide ribosomal RNA is filed under the name uncultured bacterium. RNAcentral describes it as "bacterial SSU rRNA". It matches the Rfam family "Bacterial small subunit ribosomal RNA", at positions 8 to 916 of the family's 1533-position model. The record is from RNAcentral.
AGAGUUUGAUCCUGGCUCAGGAUUAACGCUGGCGGCGUGCAUAACACAUGCAAGUCGAACGAUGAGGAUUAUUAGACUUCUUCGGAAUGAAAAUAAUUGGAUUAGUGGCGGACGGGUGAGUAACGCGUGAGUAACCUGCCUUACACAAGGGGAUAGCCGUUGGAAACGACGAAUAAUACCCUAUGAAACUAUCACUUCGCAUGAAGCGAUAGUCAAAGUGUUAGCGGUGUAAGAUGGACUUGCGUCUGAUUAGCUAGUUGGUGAGAAAAAAGCCCACCAAGGCAACGAUCAGUAGCCGGCUUGAGAGAGUGUACGGCCACAUUGGGACUGAGACACGGCCCAGACUCCUACGGGAGGCAGCAGUGGGGAAUUUUGCACAAUGGGGGAAACCCUGAUGCAGCGACGCCGCGUGAUUUAGAAGGCCUUCGGGUUGUAAAAAUCUUUUGUAUAGGAAGAAAAUGACAGUACUAUACGAAUAAGGUCCGGCUAAUUACGUGCCAGCAGCCGCGGUAAUACGUAAGGACCGAGCGUUGUCCGGAAUCAUUGGGCGUAAAGGGUACGUAGGCGGGUCAUUAAGUUAGAAGUCAAAGGCUAUAGCUCAACUAUAGUAAGCUUCUAAAACUGGAGACCUUGAGUAAUGGAAGGGAAAGUGGAAUUCCUAGUGUAGCGGUGGAAUGCGCAGAUAUUAGGAGGAAUACCGGUGGCGAAGGCGUCUUUUCUGGCCAUUAACUGACGCUGAGGUACGAAAGCGUGGGUAGCAAACAGGAUUAGAUACCCUGGUAGUCCACGCCGUAAACGAUGAGUGUUAGUGUCUGGAGUAAAUCUGGGUGCCGCAGCUAACGCAUUAAACACUCCCGCCUGGGAGUACGCACGCAAGUGUGAAACUCAAAGAAAUUGACGG